Molecule: long non-coding RNA, 8943 nt
Organism: Dunckerocampus dactyliophorus (ringed pipefish)
Lineage: Eukaryota; Metazoa; Chordata; Actinopteri; Syngnathiformes; Syngnathidae
Exons: 3
Source: RefSeq, a predicted model, not a curated record
AGCCGCCUCCGCGUGGAAAGCUUUGCCGGUUCCGCCCGUCCUCUCGGUGAUGAUUGCAGCGCACACGGUUAUGCAGGAGCAUGGAACAAGCGUGUGCGAGAGGACGCCGUCACCCCCUCGUCUCUGAGACGAGAGGCGUGGAAAUGAAUGCGAGGACAUGGAGGCUUGUUGUCAGAGCGGCUUGGCAGUCGGAGGGCGAGUGAACACCAGCCGUGUCAGUCGACACUCCCGUUUGUCUGUCAAGACUUUGGCCGAAUGACGACUGCAGCAUUUGCAUCAUGAAGACAUGUGGAUUAGAAGACACAUUUUACCCAAGAGGAGACUAAGGGCCACUCCAGCAAAGUGGAGAGUGUGGAGUGUAAUAGCACAGGGGCCAGAGCUGAGACACUGCAGCUGGUCGUGCCUUGGAAAAGACAUUUUACCCAAGAGGAGACUCAGGGCUGCUUCGGCAAAGCGGAGAGUGUGGAGUAUAAUACUGCAGCGUCCAGAGCUACAAUAACAGCUACAGCGGGUGUGUUGAUGCUGGUCAUUUCUAGCUGUAUAUUAGAAGACACGUUUUAUCCAAGAGGAGACUGAGGGCCACUACAUCACAGUGGCGACUGUGGAGUAUAAUACUGCAGCAACAGCUACAGUUAACGUUAGCAUGUGUGUUGCUGUCGGUCAUUUCUAGCCGUGUAUUAGAAGACACCGUUUUAUCUAAGAGGAGACUGAGGGCCACUACAGCAUAGAGGAGAGUGUGGAGCAGCGUCCACAGCUAGGACAACUGCAACAGUUAACAGUAGCAUGUGUGUUUCCACAUUGUGUGUGUAUUAGCAGACACAUUUUAUCGGAGAAGAGACUAAGGGCAGCCAGGAAGCAGAGCACUGCAGAAAAGUGGAGACUGUGGAGUAUAUUACUGCUGCAGGUAAGCUAGCUUGUUAUUUUGGUCAUUUCAAGGCAUGUGUCCUCACAUUUUAUUUAUCAGUGUAAGAAACCUUUGGCUCCGCCUCUCUAGCUGAUAUUUCCACGUGGAGUGCGACCAUAACCACUGGUGGGCUCAUAUAUUGACCAUAAAAUGUGCUUUUCUAUUUCCUCCAUCAAUUCAAGUGUCAAGUCUUAUUUUCUCUGCUGGGUUAGGAGAGACCAGCUGAGGAGUGAAAACAAGGCUUCUUCCUACUCGGCGGGCUGUGUUUUCUUUUUAACGACAUCCCUUCCUCAUUGUAAUUCCCAGCCCAAGAUGGUUGUCACAUAUUCAACAGAGCUGUAAAGUCGUCUUCCCGGCCGCCGCGGCGAACGACACCCGCGGGAAUCACCGCGCCGCUCCUUGUCAACAGCGGCGGCCAUCAGCACGUCUGCCGCAGCGCGAGCCCACAUUAACGCCGCGGCGGGCAGCUGUGCGCUCGAACGGAACAUGGCGUAACUCGCCUGAGAUCCGUUGGAAGCGAGCCCGGCAGGAUGCGGUCGCCAAACGACGUCUGGAAAAGUCAACGUCCACCAAAGAAAACCGUUGACCUCCAAUUACGCUGCUAAUUUCAGGCAUGUAGUUGAAAGAUAUACAGUGUUCAUAUAUAUAUAUAUAUAUAUAUAUAUAUAUAUAUAUAUAUAUAUAUAUAUGGUCCACAUGCGUCUAAAUUGACAAUGUAUAACAGGGGUGUCCAAAGUUACUGUAAUUUAAAAAGAAAAAUAAAAAAAUGGAUGGAAUAAUCAGCUGGAACAAGAAUAAAGUCAAAAUAUGAAAAGAAAAAGUUGAAAAAGGAAAAAUGUGUACUUUUACAAGAAUAUUGUCGUAAUAUUAUGAGGAAAAAUAACAUUUUAGUAGCAUAAAGUUGAACUAUUAAAGAAAGAUGUUUAUUUUUUUAAGUCGUAAUAUUGUGAAAGACAAACAAUGGAACGACUAAAGUGGUCAUUUUUGGAAAAUCAGGCUGCAGAAACGGAGAAUAAAGUGUAAAUAUGAUGGGAAUCAAGUCAGAAUGACCAGAAAAAAAGUUUACAAGCACAAAGUUGGGAAAAAACAUCAGAAAUGGAAAAACAAACAAAAAAAAACAGCUGUAAUUUUAUGAGAAUAAAGUCACAAUAUUAGGAGGGAAAAUAGUCAUUUUCUAACUCUUUCUAACGGUAAUUUUACAAGAAUAAACUCAUAAUAUUUUGAAAAAAAUAAUGUCAUUUUAGUAGCAAAGAGUUUAAAAAUGAAAGAAAAAUGAUUUUGCUAGCGGCGGCCGUCUGUUUUGUCCCUGCUGGUACGCCGUAGCCUGCCUUUGUGACGUAGGAGUGUAAAGGUGGACUCUAGGGGUGUUAUUUCAUGUCUGCAGGGCUCUAAUCAUAUUAAAACUCAUAUUUAGAAGUCAGAAACAGGUUUCCUGUACUGUCCUACAAAAAUAUUCCAUUUAUUAGUAUUGAAUCCUUUAUUAAUAUUCAUAUUCAUAUUCAUAUUGAAUUCAAGCACAGGGCUCUUGUCACAUAGAGGAUCUUCGAGUGGUGUGUUUGCAGCAGAUCCUUAAAAACAGCAACCCAUUCCUGUCAUGUAGAGGAUCUUUGACUAAUGUGUCCUUAAAAACAGCAGAGCGCUGCAGUCAUAUGGACGCUUAUUGACGCUUGUUUUUGCAGCAGGUCCUUUAUGACAGCACAACACUCCUGUCACAUAGAGGAUCUUUGACUGGUGUUUUUGCAGCAGGUCCUUUGUGACAGCACAACACUCCUGUCACAUAGAGGAUCUUUGACUCACACCUUUGCAGCAGAUCCUUAAAAAAGCAGCUGACCUUUCCUGUCACAUAGAGGAUCUUUGACGAGUGCCCUUAAAAACAUCAGAGCGCCUGUCAGUUAUAGAGAGGAUCUUCGAGUGGUGUUUUUCCAGUAGAUCCCUGCCAGUCCUCAGCGUCGUUCCUCAGUAGAACGUUCAUGAAAGUGUAGUGCUGUUGUGUGCGUUUAUGCAAGGUCAGCACUUUGCCGUGUUUUUCAUCUCAAAUCCAUCCAAACACUCUCGGGCUCUGCGAGAAAAUAAUGAAUAAAAACGCAAUCCCUUUGUUUAUUUAUUUGUUUUCUUGGUAAUUGUUUUCACGGCCGUCGCCUGCAGGCGUGCACAAGGACGGCGGUGAGCUAAAUUCCCUCAAACGGCGAAAGCCAGAUGGAACGCUUUCAUCCAGUCAGCAAAUCAUUUGGCCUCAGAUUGAUGGGCGCUCACUUUGUCUGGCACACGUGCGCGCGCACGCGCGUGAGUGUGGGUGGUCCACAUGCGCGUCUAAAUUGACAAUUCCCUCGGCACCGGCGAAAAUAUGUCAUUUUGUCCUACCCAAGAACGUGCAAGAUGGUGUGUUCACGGGAAAAAGGAAUUGAGAAACUCCUCACCAAUGUGCUGCAUUGACGCUGUAAUUUGGAACGACGAGGAGGACAAAGACAUGAAGACGUGCUUUACAGAGACAAGGAACUCCCCCCGAAGGAUCCUCCUCGCUAUAUGUUAGCUUGUCGCAGGUGCUAAUUGCUGGAAAAUCCUUUGGGUUCCUUUCGUGUUUCUGCAACAGCUUGUCCCUGAUCCCGCAGGCUUACCGGACAUCAAAGCACCCCUCAGGACGCAAAUCCUCCUCUGUUGGCAGCACCGCCAUAAAACUACAACAUAAAACAUAAAACAUAAAACAUAUUACAUAAUAUUUAUGUAUUGAUUUACUAGGGACAAUGCAUAUCAAUGCACAUCUGCAACCGAUACACAAUAUAAUCCAUCCAUCCAUUUUCUAUACCACUUCUUAGGGUCGCGGGGGCAUGCUGGAGCCUAUCCCAGCUGACUUCGGGCGACAGGCGGGGUACACCCUGCACUGGUGUCCAGCCAAUGGCAGGGCACAUAUAGACAACCAAUCACAUUCAUACCUAUGGACCAUUUAGAGUCUCCAAUGAAGCUAACAUGCAUGUUUUUGGAAUGUGGGAGGAAACCCACACACACACGGGGAAAACAUGCAAACUCCACACAGAGAUGCCCAAGGGAGAAUCCAACCCAGGUCUUCUGUGUGACCAACAUGCUAACCACUAGACCACCGUGCGGCCAUAGAAUAUGAUAUUAUUUUAAUACAAUAAUAGUUAUUAUUAUUAUGUACAUAUAAUAAUAUAUCAUAAUUGUAGUAAUACAUCACACUAUAAUUGAUCAUUUUAAUUAUUUUCUUAUAUAUACAGCAGGGGUGUCCAAAGCUUUUGCAGCGAGGGCCACUUGGAUAUUUACUGUAGCAAAGCAGCACAUGGAGAUGUGCUAAGAAGCUACCGUACACGUAGCUCAAGCUAAACCUUCACCUAUUACAAAGGUGAAAUGCUACUAAAAACUACGUUUUUCCGUAACAAUGCGGGUUUAUUCUUGUAAAAUUGAGACUUUUGCUCUUCAUUCGAUUGUGACUUUUUUUCUUAAUAUUUUGACUUUAUUCCCAUAAAAUGACAGCUGUUUUUUUUUCCAUUUCUGCUGUUUUCUAUUGUAUUUUUUCAUGACCCCACCAGGGAUAAAGUUCAUGCUCGUACUCGUAUUAGGUAGUAAUCAUCAUUUCCAGUAAAGCGCUAAGCGUUCAUGGAAAAGCUCAGCGAUUCUCCUCCGCUGCUUAUUUGCAGCUUCUGGCAGCCGGCUCGCACUUCCUCAAGGGAACCAUUCCACUAAUUAAAGAUGAAUUCCAUUAUUACCUUGGAGUGGAGGUUGCUUUUUAUUUGCAACAUGAGAAGAAGCUCUUGGUUGAAAGCUUCGUGGUGAAAACAGAAGGCGGAGGAUUUGUGUCACAAAGUAGCACAAAGAACAUCGUCACUGCCGAGCGUCUCCGUCCCGGCGAAGCCGGCGCGCCACAAAGAUGGCUGCCAGGUCACCACAUGGCAGCCGCUCUAAACGGUUCCCAGCGUCACGGAGAACAUUUGUAAAUAUUUGCCUUAUUUCUUGCUUUUUAUUAGCCUCCAACUUCCACAUGCUUCACAGUAAAAACCCACAAUAACACAGAAAUGGAAAAAACAUCAUUUUUAUCAUCAACAUACUUUGAUGAAAAUAAUGUCAUUUUAGCUGCAUAUAAAGUUGAAAUAUUAAAGAGAAAAAUGUAUUUUUUAUGUUUUUUUUAGUUAGAAUAUUAUGGGAAUAGCCAUAAGAAUAUUAAAAGAAAAUGUACAAAGAUUAUUGAAGAAGGAAGCUAGAAGGAAGCUAACAACCAAAAUGGGAAAUAUAGAUACAUUCUAAUAUAUACUCUAUAUUAUUAUAUAACAUUUAUAUGAUAUUAUAUCUAUACAUACACAUUAUAUGCAUGAAUAAAUAAAUAAUACAUAUAUAUUUAUAUAUAUUAUACAUUUUUUAUGUAAUAUAUUUUUAAUUAAUACCAAUGUUAUGUAAUGUAAUAAUAUGACAAAAAAAACAAAACAAAAUGGAAAAUUAGGUUGGGAAAAAAUGUAGAAUAUUAUGGGAUUAAAGUCAUAAUAUUAUGAAAAUAAAAUGUACAUUUUUUUUUUUAAGUUGAAAUACUGUGAAAAUUUAAAACAAAAAUAGCAAAAAUGGGGGUAAAAACAGCAGAGAGUGAAGUUGAUAUUAACAACAGGCUUUUUCGUUGGGAUGCAGUUUUUUCCUGGAAGAGCGUCUUCGCAUGUCUACAUGCGUUGCUUUACAAAAUACCAAAGUGGCAAAGUCGCGUCCUUUCAUUUUUCACCACGUCGGCCCUCGCUGGUAAAACGUUUGCACACGUGCGCACAUGAAAUACGUCGCUGCAAUUGUUCCCUGCAGGAGGUCAUUAGCAGGAGCACGAGCCUCCUUUUCAUAAGCCGAGAUUUGCCACCAAACUUUAGCGUUUGUUCUGCCACGAUCCGCAGUUCGUGAAAAACAAAACGAACGAUGAACUUUUGGGGUUUUCUUCAUCGUCGUCUCCACGUUUUAGAAGAGAAAGCUGCAGUCGCUAUUAUCACACGAGUGGAAUCCCAGCGGGAGCGGCAGUGGGGGGGCUGCUCCUUUAAAAAAAAAAAGAAGAAGAAGACGUGGAUGUGGGAAGGCAGGAACCUUGACUAAUAACCCGCAUGUGAUGUUAGAGUUUGACUCCGAGCCUUUGAAGGAUCUCGCAGUUACUCUCGUAAUUACUUCAUUGAUUACUUUGGCUGCAAAGUACAAUUUUUACAAAGUCGGCUCGAGUGAAGAUUGUGGCCUUUGUAGCGAAGACGCGACACUAACUGGUGGGAGAAUGACUCAUUUUUAAGGACUUUUUUGAAGGUGUUCAAAAUACUCAAAAGGUUCGCCAACAAUUUUUUUUACAUAUUUAUUUUCCUUAAUUUGCAUAUUUUGAAUGCUACUUUUUCUGUAAAGUGAUUGCCCCCCUGUUAAAACAUAACUUAACUGAGAUAAAUUGAGAUCUAUCAGAGUGGAAAAGGUUAUAAAGCCAUUUGUAAAGCUUUGGGACUCCAGCCAACCACAGUGAGAGCCAUUAUCCACAAAUGGCCAAAACAUGGAACAGUGGUGAACCUUCCCAGGAGCGGCCGGCCAACCAAAAUGACCCCAAGAGCGCAGCGAUGACUCAUCCAAGAGGUCACAAAAGACCCCACAACAACAUCCAAAGAACUGCAGGCCUCACUUGCCUCAGUUAAGGUCAGUGUUCAUGACUCCACCAUAAGAAAGACACUGGGCAAAAACGGCCUGCUUGGCAGAGUUCCAAGACCAAAACCACUGCUGAACAAAAAGAACAUUAAGGCUCGUCUCCAUUUUGCCAGAAAUCAUCUUGAUGAUCCCCAAGACCUUUGGGAAAAUACUCUGUGGUCUGACGAGACAAAAGUUGAACUUUUUGGAAGGUGUGUGUCCCAUUACAUCUGGCGUAAAAGUAACACAGUAUUUCAGAAAAAGAACAUCAUAGCAACAGUAAAAUAUGGUGGUGGUAGUGUGAUGGUCUGGGGCUGUUUUGCUGCUUCAGGACCCGAAAGACUUGCUGUGAUAAAUGGAAGCAUGAAUUGUGCUGAAGGAGAAUGUCCGGCCAUCUGUUGGUGACCUCAAGCUGAAAGCAACUUGGGUUCUGCAGCAGGACAAUGAUCCAAAACACACCAGUCCACCUCUGAAUGGAUGAAGACUUUGGAGUGGUCUAGUCCAAGUCCUGACCUGAAUCCUAUUGAGAUGCUGUGGCAUGACCUUCAAAAGGCGCUUGAUGCUGGAAAAGCCUCCAAUGUGGCUGAAUGACAACAAUUCUGCAAAGACGAGUGGGCAAAAAUUCCUCCAAAGCGCUGUAAGUUUUUUUUUCUCCCUUAAAAAUAAAAGUUUAAUUUAAAAACUGCAUUUUGUGUUGAGUUGUGUUGUCAUUGACUCAUGUGUGGCAAACAUGCAGAAAAAUCAGAAACUUUCUCUACUGUAUAUACAGUACAGUAUUUAUAUGUGUUUUUAUUUUUACUGAUGCCUUUUCAUUUUCAUUUCAUAGAAAAUGACAAAGUAAAUUUUAUCACAAUUUUCAUUUCCAUCCAUCCAUCCAUUUUCUAUGCCGCUUAUCUCAUUUGGGUCGCGGGGGUAUGCUGGAGCCUAUCCCAGAUGACUUCAGGCACAUUUUUAAAAAAUAUGUGUUUAAACGUCUACAGUAUAUUCUCAUGUUCUAAUUUUGACUUUGCUUCAUUUUUACUGUCAAACGUGAACAUUCUAGAAAUGGAAGACCCAGGAAGGCACGGUCAGGCAAUGUCUUCAUGUUCAUGCAGCAGAAAAUAGCACAAAUAAUAUGUAUCCCAUGUUAUAUUUUCUGUUUUCAUUUGAUUUCUUUAUUUAUUUUUGGUUGAGCAGGAAUAUUACAGAAACAGUCCCAAGAUGGAAUGCUCAGGUAAAACCUUUUUAUUGCAGUUUAUUAACAUGGCACUCAUCCAACCACACCAGUCAUAUUUUGCUGUCGUUCUAUGAAUUGUAUCCCAUUUUUACCAUCAGUGAAUAUUGGAACGGUCCGGCAAUGUGCACUCACAGGAAUUUAGCAGAAUCAUACGAAAAUGUACGGAAUAUGACAUAAAGAAGCAAGUAUGUGUCAGUAAUUAGUAGAAAAACUUUUCCAGGCUGUGAGCUUGAUGUGUUUUUAAUUUGUGUACGCGAUGAAAGAAAAUGAAAGAAGCCAUGAAAGUCUCCUUCAAGUCCACCUGGCAACUAAAACACAAAGCGCUUUGGAAUCUGUCGCCUCGGGGUCCUUUACUUUCGACACUGAGCGAGCGCUUGGCGUCAAGGCAGAGGAACACCCUCCCGCGUUGGCUGACGGACCAUCUGAGGGUGGGUGGCCAUCUGCCACAAGCGCCUGGGUGGAGAGUAGACGUGGCCCUUGGCUUUGAAGCCUUCCCAGUUAGGUUAGACAUCGAAAAACAAAGCACUGACAUGUGGCGCGUUCUCCAGCGCUAGGAAGUAGGGCGCUAACCGUGUCGCAAAGCCCCCUAGUGGACGAAAAAGGCAUGAGCGUUACAGUUCUCGCUUCAGAGAUGCAGAGAAAUAUGCUGUAGUUGCGUGCGGUUUAGCAAUAUUGUCAGUCUGUUUUUGUGGUGCAAUAAAAUCCAGUUUUACAGAUAAAAACACAUUUAGCACCAGAAACUCUUUCAAUGCUGCAAUGAACGCCUCUUCAAUUAACCGCAGGGUCUCCAAGAGCAAAGAACCGCCAAUUACUCUCAUGAGUUAUUAAUAGCUGUGGCUGUAGGCAAACUGCUGAUGUCGCUUAGUAACACCGCAAGACAACAGCCGCUGCAUGUGAUUAGCACCUGCGGCUAGCUCUGCAUGCGCUUGAAAAGACUGGUCAUGAAUGUCUCGCCAUGCGGUUGUGUGCAAUCAACUCGUGCCGACUCCGUAGCGCUGUCACAACAUUGGUUGUGUGGCUGCUGUGUUGUGCGAUAUGCUUGCUCGUAAGCGACCAUGUGGUCCAAAAAAACCUCCACACUUUCUCAUGCACUCCAAAUCAUUAUUUCAAAAAAUGUAAGAAAACAUUUUAAUCAAAUCGUAAUUUAAUUUCUAUGUAAAUAUAUAUUUAGAUCUAUAUAAUAUGUCUUACAAUAUAA